GACGAACGCUGGCGGCGUGCCUAAUACAUGCAAGUUGAGCGCUGAAGGUUGGUACUUGUACCAACUGGAUGAGCAGCGAACGGGUGAGUAACGCGUGGGGAAUCUGCCUUUGAGCGGGGGACAACAUUUGGAAACGAAUGCUAAUACCGCAUAAAAACUUUAAACACAAGUUUUAAGUUUGAAAGAUGCAAUUGCAUCACUCAAAGAUGAUCCCGCGUUGUAUUAGCUAGUUGGUGAGGUAAAGGCUCACCAAGGCGAUGAUACAUAGCCGACCUGAGAGGGUGAUCGGCCAAAUUGGGACUGGGACACGGCCCAAACUCCUACGGGAGGCAGCAGUAGGGAAUCUUCGGCAAUGGACGAAAGUCUGACCGAGCAACGCCGCGUGAGUGAAGAAGGGUUUCGGAUCGGAAAACUCUGUUGGUAGAGAAGAACGUUGGUGAGAGUGGAAAGCUCAUCAAGUGACGGUAACUACCCAGAAAGGGACGGCUAACUACGUG
Molecule: ribosomal RNA, 497 nt
Filed under: uncultured bacterium
Lineage: Bacteria
Description: partial 16S ribosomal RNA
Rfam family: Bacterial small subunit ribosomal RNA
Source: RNAcentral